GACGAACGCUGGCGGCGUGCUUAACACAUGCAAGUCGAACGGAAAGGCCCUGCUUUUGUGGGGUGCUCGAGUGGCGAACGGGUGAGUAACACGUGAGUAACCUGCCCUUGACUUUGGGAUAACUUCAGGAAACUGGGGCUAAUACCGGAUAGGAGCUCCUGCUGCAUGGUGGGGGUUGGAAAGUUUCGGCGGUUGGGGAUGGACUCGCGGCUUAUCAGCUUGUUGGUGGGGUAGUGGCUUACCAAGGCUUUGACGGGUAGCCGGCCCGAGAGGGUGACCGGCCACAUUGGGACUGAGAUACGGCCCAGACUCCUACGGGAGGCAGCAGUGGGGAAUAUUGCACAAUGGGCGAAAGCCUGAUGCAGCAACGCCGCGUGCGGGAUGACGGCCUUCGGGUUGUAAACCGCUUUCGCCUGUGACGAAGCGUGAGUGACGGUAAUGGGUAAAGAAGCACCGGCUAACUACGU
Molecule: ribosomal RNA, 467 nt
Filed under: uncultured bacterium
Lineage: Bacteria
Description: partial 16S ribosomal RNA
Rfam family: Bacterial small subunit ribosomal RNA
Source: RNAcentral